Long non-coding RNA from Acanthochromis polyacanthus (spiny chromis), 1672 nucleotides. RefSeq lists it as uncharacterized. The transcript is spliced from 2 exons. NCBI's taxonomy places the organism in Eukaryota, Metazoa, Chordata, Actinopteri, Pomacentridae. The record is from RefSeq and is a predicted model, not a curated record.
CACGAGUACAACGAUCAGGACGAGAGAGAAGGAAGCCGGUUGCAUGAUCAGUGGGGAUGAAGCACUGUCCUGUUCUGGAUGGAGUGUGGGUCGCUACUGGAGGAGGAGAAAGUCCAGCAGCUCUAUUUAAACAGAGGGUCAAUAAACCGGCUAACUCAUUUACCAAAAUGUUUUCUGUGGUUAAGAGCUGGAAUUCAUGAUGACUUUAACACCAUGCAGGAGGAGAGCUAGGUCAGAAAGCACACUAAAAUAUUGAGUCGUAGAUGCAGGCAGAAUUUGUUCUGUGUUCAGAUAAACAUAAGAAACCUGAUCCAGAUGUUCCAGCUGUUAGACCAGAGGCUGGAGGAGAGGAGGAGGAUCAGGAAACAAGAUGAUGGAAACGGUAAUUCAGCUUCAACGUCUUCAGGUAUAAAGCAGUGAGAUGCACCGUGACGUAACACGUCCGUGCACACGCUCAGAGGUGUUUGAAAGAUGGAAAACAGGAAGAGCAAGGAUGGUGAGGAGAAGGAAAGAAUUAAAAAGAGGAAAGCUCUGGAAACAGACGCAGCCGAAUGUGCAGAAAUUGGAAACUUUUUCACUAAAGCUCGCGGUUUGAAACGACAAAUGAGGACGAGGAAACGGAUACGGACUUUGUUGAACUUUGCAAACCACCGUUCCAGUUAAUUAUCAAAUCAAUUCAUUGUGUGCCAUUGUGGCGUAAAACAGAACGUUAUAUAAUUUAAAUAAUAGUACGAUGCGACCACAUAACUGGGAAACUUUGUCUUGAAGAGUCAGAACAAAGAUCCAGAACCAAGCAGCAGCCAAGAGCCACAAGUCCAGAGUGGGAGGUAGGAUUGUUCAUGGAGUGAAUAUUAUUAGAAUGAAUCUAAUGAAGAGUCUGGUGUAGAGCUGCUCUAUAUGAGAAGAUGAUUCAGCUCUACAUUCAUGAAACGGACCUGACGGCUUUGUAAAAAGGGGAGAUUUGUGCUGAGAGUUUUGACCAUUUUAAAAUUGUGAUUUAGUGUCAGAGGCAGAGCCAGUAGUGAUGAGAGGAUUAUUGCUGUAGUAUGAAGGAACAGGUGAGCUGUUGGAACAGAGCGAACAAACAAACAUUAGUUCCAAUACUUUCUACGCCCAAACCAUAGCAGUGACCCAUUUAAUUUUUAUCAUUAAAAGACAAUAAAUACACAAAGACCACAACUGAAAGGGAACAGGAUGAGAUAAAAACAUUGACUUUCAUUACUGAUGUCCAGUUUUAAUAAAGUUCAUGCUACUUUUAUAAAAUGAUGAAAGUGAUUAAAUUGUAUUUGUGUGAUCUGUGUUUGAUUUCUGUCUUUUCUCCUCAUCCAGAUGUUCAGAGGAGCUGAUGCCACAUCUGGUCCAGCCGAUGGAAGGUCUUGAAGUUCUCUGACUGAAGAUGGUCCUCUGACUGGAUUUAAGGUUCAGAUGCUCAGGAACAAACUCCACCAAUGAGCCAACAGGGAAGCUUUAGGUGUUUUAAAUGUUGCUAUAAAGCAAGAAGACUAAACUACAUUAGUUGGACUUCUACAUGAGAGCUUUAGUUAUUCUUCAUCUACUUCCUGAGAAGUUUGUUCAGUAAAAAAGACAAAAGCUAUGACUUUCAGCUGAACUAAAGACAGACUUUGUGAUUUUUCUGCUCACAUGUUGUGUUGUUCUAAACUUACUCUUUCAA